Molecule: ribosomal RNA, 414 nt
Filed under: uncultured bacterium
Lineage: Bacteria
Description: bacterial SSU rRNA
Rfam family: Bacterial small subunit ribosomal RNA
Source: RNAcentral
GUUUAGAUCCCUGGCUCAGGACGAACGCUGGCGGCGUGCUUAACACAUGCAAGUCGAACGGAAAGGACCCUUACGGGUAACUACGAGUGGCGAACGGGUGAGUAACACGUGGGUAACCUGCCCUCAGCUUCGGGAUAACUCCGGGUAAACCGGGGCUAAUACCGGAUAUUCAUUGUCUGCCGCAUGGUGGGUGGUGGAAAGUUUUUUUCGGCUGGGGAUGGGCCCGCGGCCUAUCAGUCUUGUUGGUGGGGUGAUGGCCUACCAAGGCGUCGACGGGGUAGCCGGCCUGAGAGGGCGACCGGCCACACUGGGACUGAGACACGGCCCAGACUCCUACGGGAGGCAGCAGUGGGGAAUAUUGCGCAAUGGGCGGAAGCCUGACGCAGCGACGCCGCGUGAGGGAUGACGGCCUGG